RNAcentral lists this ribosomal RNA (497 nucleotides) under uncultured bacterium. RNAcentral's name for it is "partial 16S ribosomal RNA". It matches the Rfam family "Bacterial small subunit ribosomal RNA", at positions 28 to 507 of the family's 1533-position model. The record is from RNAcentral.
GAUGAACGCUGGCGGCGUGCCUAAUACAUGCAAGUCGAGCGAACAGACGAGGAGCUGGCUCCUCUGACGUUAUCGGCGGACGGGUGAGUAACACGGGGAUAACCUACCUAUCAGACUGGGAUAACUUCGGGAAACCGGAGCUAAGACCGGAUAAUAUAUUGAACCGCAUGGUGCAAUAGUGAAAGACGGUUGUGCGGUCACUUAUAGAUGGAUCCGCGCCGCAUUAGCUAGUUGGUAAGGUAACGGCUUACCAAGGCAAGGAUGCGUAGCCGACCUGAGAGGGUGAUUCGACACACGGGCUCUGAGAAAGGGUACAGACUCUUACGGGAGGAAGCAGUAGGGAAUCUUCCGCAAUGGGGGAAAGCCUGACGGAGCAACGCCGGCGGAGUGAUGAAGGUCUUCGGAUCGUAAAACUCUGUUAUUCGGGGAGAACAAAUGUGUAAGUAACUAUGCACAUCUUGACGGUACCUAGUGAGAAAGCCACGGCUAACUCCGUG